Molecule: long non-coding RNA, 550 nt
Organism: Erpetoichthys calabaricus (reedfish)
Lineage: Eukaryota; Metazoa; Chordata; Cladistia; Polypteriformes; Polypteridae
Exons: 4
Source: RefSeq, a predicted model, not a curated record
AGUUAGGUAAUGUAAAGUAGAAUCACAGAGAAACAGGCAGGCAGUGUAGCACACUAGUGUUAAGGCUUUGGACCUCAAACCCUGAGGCUGUGUAUUCAAAUCCCACCACUGACACUGUGGGACCCUGAGCAAGUCAUUACGCCCACCUGUGCUCCAACUGGGAAAAACAAAAGAAAUGGAACCAAUAGUAUCUCAAAUGUCAUACGUUGCUUUGGAUAAAGGCGUAUCGGCCAAAUAAAUAAAAUGUAGAAACAGCUUUAAGACACAUCACCAUGUAGAGCACCAAGUUUUAUUAUUUUACAGUGGACACAAAGGACUAUCCUGCAAAUUGUGCAGUCAACACAAGUAAAAGGCAGGAAUCUGAUAACCUUGAACCUUCUCAUACUCUGUCAUUGGAAGGUCCGGAUAAAUCAAGUCUAUCAGUGAAAUACCUCACUGAAAACAAAUUGCCCAAAAGAAAAGUGCACAGAAAGGUGUACCGUAUGUGUAUAUUAAAGGAGGAAGCAAAAUCAUCUGAACAGUCAAGUACGACAAGACAAGACUUUUAUUG